RNAcentral lists this ribosomal RNA (1279 nucleotides) under Escherichia coli. RNAcentral describes it as "partial 23S ribosomal RNA". It matches the Rfam family "Bacterial large subunit ribosomal RNA", at positions 1660 to 2915 of the family's 2925-position model. The record is from RNAcentral. Lineage: Bacteria; Pseudomonadati; Pseudomonadota; Gammaproteobacteria; Enterobacterales; Enterobacteriaceae.
CAGGUGGUCAGGUAGAGAAUACCAAGGCGCUUGAGAGAACUCGGGUGAAGGAACUAGGCAAAAUGGUGCCGUAACUUCGGGAGAAGGCACGCUGAUAUGUAGGUGAAGUCCCUCGCGGAUGGAGCUGAAAUCAGUCGAAGAUACCAGCUGGCUGCAACUGUUUAUUAAAAACACAGCACUGUGCAAACACGAAAGUGGACGUAUACGGUGUGACGCCUGCCCGGUGCCGGAAGGUUAAUUGAUGGGGUCAGCGCAAGCGAAGCUCUUGAUCGAAGCCCCGGUAAACGGCGGCCGUAACUAUAACGGUCCUAAGGUAGCGAAAUUCCUUGUCGGGUAAGUUCCGACCUGCACGAAUGGCGUAAUGAUGGCCAGGCUGUCUCCACCCGAGACUCAGUGAAAUUGAACUCGCUGUGAAGAUGCAGUGUACCCGCGGCAAGACGGAAAGACCCCGUGAACCUUUACUAUAGCUUGACACUGAACAUUGAGCCUUGAUGUGUAGGAUAGGUGGGAGGCUUAGAAGUGUGGACGCCAGUCUGCAUGGAGCCGACCUUGAAAUACCACCCUUUAAUGUUUGAUGUUCUAACGUUGACCCGUGAUCCGGGUUGCGGACAGUGUCUGGUGGGUAGUUUGACUGGGGCGGUCUCCUCCUAAAGAGUAACGGAGGAGCACGAAGGUUGGCUAAUCCUGGUCGGACAUCAGGAGGUUAGUGCAAUGGCAUAAGCCAGCUUGACUGCGAGCGUGACGGCGCGAGCAGGUGCGAAAGCAGGUCAUAGUGAUCCGGUGGUUCUGAAUGGAAGGGCCAUCGCUCAACGGAUAAAAGGUACUCCGGGGAUAACAGGCUGAUACCGCCCAAGAGUUCAUAUCGACGGCGGUGUUUGGCACCUCGAUGUCGGCUCAUCACAUCCUGGGGCUGAAGUAGGUCCCAAGGGUAUGGCUGUUCGCCAUUUAAAGUGGUACGCGAGCUGGGUUUAGAACGUCGUGAGACAGUUCGGUCCCUAUCUGCCGUGGGCGCUGGAGAACUGAGGGGGGCUGCUCCUAGUACGAGAGGACCGGAGUGGACGCAUCACUGGUGUUCGGGUUGUCAUGCCAAUGGCACUGCCCGGUAGCUAAAUGCGGAAGAGAUAAGUGCUGAAAGCAUCUAAGCACGAAACUUGCCCCGAGAUGAGUUCUCCCUGACCCUUUAAGGGUCCUGAAGGAACGUUGAAGACGACGACGUUGAUAGGCCGGGUGUGUAAGCGCAGCGAUGCGUUGAGCUAACCGGUACUAAUGAACCGUGAGG